RNAcentral lists this ribosomal RNA (468 nucleotides) under uncultured bacterium. Its description in RNAcentral is "partial 16S ribosomal RNA". It matches the Rfam family "Bacterial small subunit ribosomal RNA", at positions 28 to 507 of the family's 1533-position model. The record is from RNAcentral.
GACGAACGCUGGCGGCGUGCUUAACACAUGCAAGUCGAACGGAAAGGCCCUGCUUUUGUGGGGUGCUCGAGUGGCGAACGGGUGAGUAACACGUGAGUAACCUGCCCUUGACUUUGGGAUAACUUCAGGAAACUGGGGCUAAUACCGGAUAGGAGCUCCUGCUGCAUGGUGGGGGUUGGAAAGUUUCGGCGGUUGGGGAUGGACUCGCGGCUUAUCAGCUUGUUGGUGGGGUAGUGGCUUACCAAGGCUUUGACGGGUAGCCGGCCUGAGAGGGUGACCGGCCACAUUGGGACUGAGAUACGGCCCAGACUCCUACGGGAGGCAGCAGUGGGGAAUAUUGCACAAUGGGCGGAAGCCUGAUGCAGCAACGCCGCGUGCGGGAUGACUGCCUUCGGGUUGUAAACCGCAUUCGCCUGUGACGAAGCGUGAGUGACGGUAAUGGGUAAAGAAGCACCGGCUAACUACGUG